AGUGAACGCUGGCGGUAGGCCUAACACAUGCAAGUCGAACGGCAGCACAGUAAGAGCUUGCUCUUACGGGUGGCGAGUGGCGGACGGGUGGGGAAUACAUCGGAAUCUACUUUUUCGUGGGGGAUAACGUAGGGAAACUUACGCUAAUACCGCAUACGACCUACGGGUGAAAGCAGGGGAGCUUCGGACCUUGCGCGAUUGAAUGAGCCGAUGUCGGAUUAGCGAGUUGGCGGGGUAAAGGCCCACCAAGGCGACGAUCCGUAGCUGGUCUGAGAGGAUGAUGAGCGACACUGGAACUGAGACACGGUCCAGACUCCUACGGGAGGCAGAAGUGGGGAAUAUUGGACGAUGGGCGCAAGCCUGAUCCAGCCAUACCGCGUGGGUGAAGAAGGCCUUCGGGUUGUAAAGCCCUUUUGUUGGGAAAGAAAAGCAGCAGGUUAAUCCCCCGCUGUUCUGACGGUACCCAAAGAAUAAGCACCGGCUAACUUCGUG
RNAcentral lists this ribosomal RNA (492 nucleotides) under uncultured bacterium. RNAcentral's name for it is "partial 16S ribosomal RNA". It matches the Rfam family "Bacterial small subunit ribosomal RNA", at positions 29 to 507 of the family's 1533-position model. The record is from RNAcentral.